This 520-nucleotide ribosomal RNA is filed under the name uncultured bacterium. Its description in RNAcentral is "bacterial SSU rRNA". It matches the Rfam family "Bacterial small subunit ribosomal RNA", at positions 777 to 1297 of the family's 1533-position model. The record is from RNAcentral.
AAUAGAUACCCCGGUAGUCCACGCCGUAAACGAUGAGUGCUAAGUGUUAGAGGGUUUCCGCCCUUUAGUGCUGAAGUUAACGCAUUAAGCACUCCGCCUGGGGAGUACGGCCGCAAGGCUGAAACUCAAAGGAAUUGACGGGGGCCCGCACAAGCGGUGGAGCAUGUGGUUUAAUUCGAAGCAACGCGAAGAACCUUACCAGGUCUUGACAUCCUCUGACAACCCUAGAGAUAGGGCUUCUCCUUCGGGAGCAGAGUGACAGGUGGUGCAUGGUUGUCGUCAGCUCGUGUCGUGAGAUGUUGGGUUAAGUCCCGCAACGAGCGCAACCCUUGAUCUUAGUUGCCAUCAUUCAGUUGGGCACUCUAAGGUGACUGCCGGUGACAAACCGGAGGAAGGUGGGGAUGACGUCAAAUCAUCAUGCCCCUUAUGACCUGGGCUACACACGUGCUACAAUGGACGGUACAAAGAGCUGCAAGACCGCGAGGUGGAGCUAAUCUCAUAAAACCGUUCUCAGUUCGGA